CAGCAGCCACGGUAAUACGUAGGUGGCAAGCGUUGUCCGGAAUUAUUGGGCGUAAAGGGCUCGCAGGCGGUUUGAUAAGUCUUGUGUGAAAUCUAUGGGCUCAACCCAUAGUCUGCACAGGAAACUGUCGGGCUUGAGAGUGGGAGAGGUGAGUGGAAUUUCCGGUGUAGCGGUGAAAUGCGUAGAGAUGUGGAGGAACACCAGUGGCGAAGGCGACUCUCUGGUCUGUAACUGACGCUGAGGAACGAAAGCGUGGGGAGCGAACAGGAUUAGAUACCCCAGUAGUCCCUGUCUCUUAUAU
RNAcentral lists this ribosomal RNA (301 nucleotides) under uncultured bacterium. RNAcentral's name for it is "partial 16S ribosomal RNA". It matches the Rfam family "Bacterial small subunit ribosomal RNA", at positions 509 to 809 of the family's 1533-position model. The record is from RNAcentral.